CUGGCGGCGUGCUUAACACAUGCAAGUCGAACGAGAAUCCGGGGGCAACCCGGUAGUAAAGUGGCAAACGGGUGAGGAAUACAUGGGUAACCUACCCUUGAGAAGGGAAUAACCCGCCGAAAGGUGAGCUAAUACCCUAUACGCUAUCUUUUUUUCGAAAAGGAUAGGAAAGCCGGGUCGAGGACCUGGUACUCAAGGAGGGGCUCAUGUCCUAUCAGCUUGUUGGUGGGGUAACGGCCUACCAAGGCUACGACGGGUAGCUGGUCUGAGAGGAUGAUCAGCCACACUGGCACUGAGAUACGGGCCAGACUCCUACGGGGAGGCAGCAGUGAGGAAUAUUGCGCAAUGGGCGAAAGCCUGACGCAGCGACGCCGCGUGGGGGAUGAAGGUUUUCGGAUUGUAAACCCCUUUCAUGAGGAAAGAUAAAGUGGGUAACCACUUAGACGGUACCUCAAGAAGAAGCCACGGCUAACUUCGUG
This 479-nucleotide ribosomal RNA is filed under the name uncultured bacterium. Its description in RNAcentral is "bacterial SSU rRNA". It matches the Rfam family "Bacterial small subunit ribosomal RNA", at positions 36 to 507 of the family's 1533-position model. The record is from RNAcentral.